AGAGAGAGACAUGCGCGCAUAUCAAUAAGCGGAGGAAAAGAAACUAACAAGGAUUCCCUUAGUAACGGCGAGUGAAGCGGGAAGAGCUCAAAUUUGAAAUCUUCAAGGUUUUACCUUGACGAAUUGUAGUUUAUAGAAGUGUUUUCUGUUGGAGUUUUGGUAAAAGUUCUUUGGAAUAGGACAUCAUAGAGGGUGAGAAUCCCGUAUUUGGACCAUUAUUUCCAGCUGUGUGAUACACUUUCAAAGAGUCGGAUUGUUUGGGAAUGCAGUCCAAAAUGGGUGGUAAAUUUCAUCUAAAGCUAAAUAUUGGCGAGAGACCGAUAGCGAACAAGUACCGUGAGGGAAAGAUGAAAAGAACUUUGAAAAGAGAGUUAAACAGUACGUGAAAUUGUCAAAAGGGAAGCGUUUGACACCAGUGUUGUUUUUCUCGAAAAUCAAUUACGAAUAUUUUGUUUUUGAGGAGUUAUGACUUCAUCGGCUUGCUCCUUUCUUUACGAAACUUUCUUAAUGCACUUUUCGGUUAACAAGUCAACAUCAAUUUCUUUUGUUGUAAAAGGGUACGAGGAAGGUGGCUUUCUUUUCGGAGAAAGUGUUUAUAGCCUUGUGCCUCUGCAAUCGGAGAGAUUGAGGUCUGUUAACGUAGAUCCUUCGGGGUUAGAUACAUUUGUGCUAAGUUAUAGCUUUUCAUAGACAACUUGUUGACUAUGUUUAGUCUUGUAGCUUACUCGCUUAUGCUAUUUUACCUACGCUUAGGAUGUUGAUCUGUAGUGCGUGCGC
This 777-nucleotide ribosomal RNA is filed under the name uncultured Neocallimastigales. RNAcentral's name for it is "partial large subunit ribosomal RNA". It matches the Rfam family "Eukaryotic large subunit ribosomal RNA", at positions 23 to 647 of the family's 3401-position model. Lineage: Eukaryota; Fungi; Neocallimastigomycota; Neocallimastigomycetes; Neocallimastigales. The record is from RNAcentral.